This 326-nucleotide long non-coding RNA is filed under the name Nicotiana benthamiana. RNAcentral describes it as "long non-coding RNA (NBEN_LNC010353)". Lineage: Eukaryota; Viridiplantae; Streptophyta; Magnoliopsida; Solanales; Solanaceae. The record is from RNAcentral.
GGAAAAGUAAAAUCAACUAAAAGUAAAAUUCGAUGCAUAGUGCGUCGUUUAGACUUGCUACUCUGAAGCUCUCCAGGCACUGGUGGUCAUGACUGACCAAUUGGUGAGGCAUUCCCCUCGGUUCAUAGCUUGAAUGGAAAGGCCUUCCUCCCCUUCCUCCUCGAAGAUAACACAACAAUCCAUAUCAUCCUCCAGAAACAGGUUCUUCAUUGCUUCCAAUGCCUCGUCUUCCUCUGAUCUAUAUAUAAUGUCAGCUGGCUAAAAGGUCUACUCCAGCUGAGGUAUAUGGUGUUCCAAUAGAUAGUAGGGACUGGGCCAUGGUGGUG